UACGCCGGUCACUUGACGCAGAAGUAUAACCCAGGCUUGAAGCUAAGCAGGGCUGAGCCUGGUCAAUACCUGAAUGGUAGACCACAUGGGAAAACUAGGUUGCUGUUGAAA
This 111-nucleotide ribosomal RNA is filed under the name Danio rerio (zebrafish). The record is from RNAcentral. Lineage: Eukaryota; Metazoa; Chordata; Actinopteri; Cypriniformes; Danionidae.